UCGCCAUAGUGACUGUAGUCGUGGAGACAGUUACUUACCAACGGGAGCAACACUCAGCAACACAGCAGCAGCAGCACCUGGAGGAGAGAGAGAGGGAAAAGAACAGUAAAGCCAGGGCAGAUCUAAGCAGAAGGCUGAGGAGAAACCAUGCAGCGGUCAGAGGGCGGCUCAGAGUCUGCAUCCUCCGUGGCGCUGAGAACGUCCACUUCAGCCCAGGCGCCAGUGGUUUCAGCCCGUUCCCCGCCUCGCAACAGGUCCAACAGGUUCAGCAUGUGUACCAGUCCCAGGUGCAGUACGUGGAGGGGGCAGAGGCCGUCUACCCCAAUGGCACAAUGUAAGCCCCUAUCAAUAUAUUAAACCAGUGUGUCAAACCUGCUUUCAGUUGUUCACUUUGUGCAGGCAACUUAUUAUUGAAGACUUCCUAUUGAUGCUGAAGUAUAAUGUCAUAAAUAUUAUACUGGUGCUUU
Long non-coding RNA from Cyprinus carpio (common carp), 467 nucleotides. RefSeq lists it as uncharacterized. Lineage: Eukaryota; Metazoa; Chordata; Actinopteri; Cypriniformes; Cyprinidae. The transcript is spliced from 3 exons. The record is from RefSeq and is a predicted model, not a curated record.